UAUCUUUCCAUACAUAACCGA
This 21-nucleotide small RNA is filed under the name Arabidopsis thaliana (thale cress). Its description in RNAcentral is "ATSL061450". Lineage: Eukaryota; Viridiplantae; Streptophyta; Magnoliopsida; Brassicales; Brassicaceae. The record is from RNAcentral.